GGGAACAUAGCUCAGUGGUACAGCACAUGCCUGGCAAGCGUGAGUCCCUGAGUUCAAUUCCUGGUACCA
Molecule: transfer RNA, 69 nt
Filed under: Heterocephalus glaber (naked mole-rat)
Lineage: Eukaryota; Metazoa; Chordata; Mammalia; Rodentia; Bathyergidae
Rfam family: tRNA
About the family: Transfer RNA (tRNA) molecules are approximately 80 nucleotides in length. Their secondary structure includes four short double-helical elements and three loops (D, anti-codon, and T loops).
Source: Rfam by way of RNAcentral